AAGCCAGUGAGACCACGAGCCCACCUGGAGGAAGGAACAACUCCAGAGGCCCUGCCUUAAGAGCUGUAACACUCACCGCGAAGGUCUGCAGCUUCACUCCUGAAGCCAGCGAGACCACGAGCCCACCUGGAGGAACAAACAACUCCAGAGGCGCCGCCUUAAGAGCUGUAACACUCACCGCGAAGGUCUGCAGCUUCACUCCUGAGCCAGCGAGACCACGAACCCACCAGAAGGAAGAAACUCCGAAAACAUCUUAACAUCAGAAGGAACAAAUUCCAGACGCGCCAUCUUAAGAGCUGUAACACUCACCGCGAGGGGCGUGGCUUCAUGCUUGAAGUCAGUGAGACCAAGAACCCACCAAUUCUGGACACAUUAUGACCUUUGUUUCCUGCCAUGGAAGAAAAUUUAAAUUCCCAGGCUGAAGAAGCAAAUUAGGCCUCUCAAGCAGAAACCAACAGUGUAUCACAAACUCAUGAAAAAUUUCAUAGAUGUCUCAGAAGAAGCAGUGAAAAAUAUUGGUUCUGAGAAGCAAUCAUCAGCCAUUUCAUCCUCAAGCAAACUUUAUUCAAGAAAGAAUAACCAUUUCAGCUUGUCUAAAUAUCAGCUCACCUUUUCACAUUGUUUACCUUAAUGACAAAAGAACCCUGAGAACACUGAAAAUUUUUCCCGGAAAAGACGUCAGUGCCAGAUAUCUGCAAUUAAAUACUGAUAAUUUCACUGGCAGUUCAAGCAGUUUAAUGAAGUUUUAGAUAUCAAAAUAACUCACAAGUGAGCAUGUGU
This 780-nucleotide long non-coding RNA is filed under the name Homo sapiens (human). RNAcentral's name for it is "HSALNT0204439". Lineage: Eukaryota; Metazoa; Chordata; Mammalia; Primates; Hominidae. The record is from RNAcentral.